AAGGGUAUAGCUCAAUGGUGGAGCGCAUGCUUAGCUUGCAUGAGGUCCUGGGUUCAAUCCCCAGUACCUCCA
Transfer RNA from Camelus ferus (Wild Bactrian camel), 72 nucleotides. It matches the Rfam family "tRNA". Rfam says of the family: Transfer RNA (tRNA) molecules are approximately 80 nucleotides in length. Their secondary structure includes four short double-helical elements and three loops (D, anti-codon, and T loops). NCBI's taxonomy places the organism in Eukaryota, Metazoa, Chordata, Mammalia, Artiodactyla, Camelidae. The record is from Rfam.